GAUGAACGCUGGCGGCGUGCCUAAUACAUGCAAGUCGAGCGAACAGACGUGGAGCUUGCUCCUCUGACGUUAGCGGCGGACGGGUGAGUAACACGUGGAUAACCUACCUAUAAGACUGGGAUAACUUCGGGAAACCGGAGCUAAUACCGGAUAAUAUAUUGAACCGCAUGGUUCAAUAGUGAAAGACGGUUUUGCUGUCACUUAUAGAUGGAUCCGCGCCGCAUUAGCUAGUUGGUAAGGUAACGGCUUACCAAGGCAACGAUGCGUAGCCGACCUGAGAGGGUGAUCGGCCACACUGGAACUGAGACACGGUCCAGACUCCUACGGGAGGCAGCAGUAGGGAAUCUUCCGCAAUGGGCGAAAGCCUGACGGAGCAACGCCGCGUGAGUGAUGAAGGUCUUCGGAUCGUAAAACUCUGUUAUUAGGGAAGAACAAAUGUGUAAGUAACUAUGCACGUCUUGACGGUACCUAAUCAGAAAGCCACGGCGAACUACGU
This 496-nucleotide ribosomal RNA is filed under the name uncultured bacterium. RNAcentral describes it as "partial 16S ribosomal RNA". It matches the Rfam family "Bacterial small subunit ribosomal RNA", at positions 28 to 506 of the family's 1533-position model. The record is from RNAcentral.